GCGAAGAGGAUAAGAAUCCCCAAUUCUCCUGUGCGGCUAGGGAUUCACCCAGCCGUCGCCGCCGAUUGCAGAACGACGGCACGCCGCCUACGGCGAGCCGGACGUCGACGGCCUCCGCGACCGCGCCUGGAGGCAUCGCCGGCCGGAGGGUACCGCCUUGCCGGUAGAAGCUCUUCGCGCCGCAGGCUGGUACAGGAGAGGAACCGCGUCAUGGCUGGUCGCUCCGCGGGAGCCGCCCAUCGCGCGUGGAAGCGCAUCCAUGUCGAGGCCGAAGGCCAUGGCUGCUUGGAGCGCCGCACUAUAUGAACAGCGUCCAAAGUAAUUUAGAGGUAUGAACAUGACGAACUGAAGAAAUACCAUGUGGGUGCUUCCGUUUCUUGGUUUGGAUUUUCAAUCCAUCGAUCGUGGGUGCCAAUUCUCAUGUUCCUUCUUUCUAUCUGUUCGUCUUUUUCUCUGCCGAUGUCUCGCCGAGUGCCAUCGAAGGCCACGCCUUGAGUUCGAGGUCGCGAGGAUGCGAGCCGACGCUGCGCGUACAGGCGCAGACGGCAGACGUGAACCGAAGUCGGCACGCCAAUGGCCGGGGCUUUCCCUCGAAGUUCAGGGACUAGAUUGAUGUUCUCCUAUCUAUUGCAUCCUCUAGGACACCCAGAAGACUUGGGGAGAGGGCCAGAAGGUUCCCGAGGAGGCCACAAGCCUCUAGGACGCGCCCAGAGGGCUUGUGGGCGGGGGUCUCCUAACCCUAACUCCGCCUCUAUAAAUCCUAAAAUAUUCCCAAGCCAUCAGAAGCGUCCAUCAAAAUACUUUUCCGCCACCACAAUCUUCUGUUCUCGAGAGAUCCCAUCUUGGGGCCGUUUCCGGUGAUCUGCCGGAGGGCGAUUCGAUCACGGAGGGCUUCUACAUCAACCUUGCUGCCCUAUCGAUGAUGUGUGAGUAGUUUAUCACAGACCUACGUAGCUAGUAGCUAGAUGGCUUUUUCUCCCUCUUUGACCUUCAAUACAAUGUUCUCCUCGAUGUUCUUGGAGUUCUAUCCGAUGUAAUAUUCCUUUGUGGUGUGUUUGUU
Molecule: long non-coding RNA, 1060 nt
Organism: Aegilops tauschii subsp. strangulata
Lineage: Eukaryota; Viridiplantae; Streptophyta; Magnoliopsida; Poales; Poaceae
Source: RefSeq, a predicted model, not a curated record